GAUGAACGCUGGCGGCGUGCCUAAUACAUGCAAGUCGAGCGAACAGACGAGAGUGCUUGCACUCUCUGACGUUAGCGGCGGACGGGUGAGUAACACGUGGGUAACCUACCUAUAAGACUGGGAUAACUUCGGGAAACCGGAGCUAAUACCGGAUAAUAUUUAGCUUCGCAUGAAGCAAUAGUGAAAGGCGGUUCUGCUGUCACUUAUAGAUGGACCCGCGGUGUAUUAGCUAGUUGGUGAGGUAACGGCUCACCAAGGCAACGAUACAUAGCCGACCUGAGAGGGUGAUCGGCCACACUGGGACUGAGACACGGCCCAGACUCCUACGGGAGGCAGCAGUAGGGAAUCUUCCGCAAUGGACGAAAGUCUGACGGAGCAAUGCCGCGUGAGUGAAGAAGGUUUUCGGAUCGUAAAACUCUGUUGUAAGGGAAGAACAAGUACGUUAGUAACUGAACGUACCUUGACGGUACCUUACCAGAAAGCCACGGCUAACUACGUG
Molecule: ribosomal RNA, 499 nt
Filed under: uncultured bacterium
Lineage: Bacteria
Description: partial 16S ribosomal RNA
Rfam family: Bacterial small subunit ribosomal RNA
Source: RNAcentral